This 497-nucleotide ribosomal RNA is filed under the name uncultured bacterium. Its description in RNAcentral is "bacterial SSU rRNA". It matches the Rfam family "Bacterial small subunit ribosomal RNA", at positions 28 to 507 of the family's 1533-position model. The record is from RNAcentral.
GACGAACGCUGGCGGCGUGCCUAAUACAUGCAAGUCGAGCGGAACUUAGAAAGCUUGCUUUCUAAGUUUAGCGGCGGACGGGUGAGUAACACGUGGGCAACCUGCCUAUAAGACUGGGAUAACUUCGGGAAACCGGAGCUAAUACCGGAUAAUAUAAAAGAUCACAUGGUCUUUUAUUGAAAGAUGGCUUCGGCUAUCACUUAUAGAUGGGCCCGCGGCGCAUUAGCUAGUUGGUGAGGUAAUGGCUCACCAAGGCGACGAUGCGUAGCCGACCUGAGAGGGUGAUCGGCCACACUGGGAAUGAGACACGGCCCAGACUCCUACGGGAGGCAGCAGUAGGGAAUCUUCCGCAAUGGACGAAAGUCUGACGGAGCAACGCCGCGUGAGCGAUGAAGGCCUUCGGGUCGUAAAGCUCUGUUGUUAGGGAAGAACAAGUAUCGUUCGAAUAGGGCGGUACCUUGACGGUACCUAACCAGAAAGCCACGGCUAACUACGUG